Molecule: long non-coding RNA, 875 nt
Filed under: Cyanistes caeruleus (blue tit)
Lineage: Eukaryota; Metazoa; Chordata; Aves; Passeriformes; Paridae
Description: lncRNA (ENSCCEG00000011686.1)
Source: RNAcentral
AGGCAGUAAGAGAAAGAGGCAAAUUGGUUUGAAUUCUGUAUUCCCCAAGCACUAAUAAAUAUGCUGUUAAAUAUGCAGUUACUGGGAAUGAGUAGCUAGUUUAAUACUGGUAGAAGUGGCAUUGUUUACUGCUUUGUGACCAUUCUGCAAGCUCCACUGAAGGCUUGCAGAUGGUAUUUGGCUUUCUCUGAAAGAAUAUGGACUUGCUAAGCACCUGUUUCCAUAUUUCACAUUCUACCUUACUUUGAAAGGAAAGAAGUUUGCAUUCAUUAGUAAGUGUUCCUGUUUCUAUAAGACUGCAGUAAGAGCAACAAAAUUUCUUACCAUUGAUCUUUUUCCACCACUAGCAGGACAGUCAUUUCUUGGAGAUUUCUCUUACUGGGUAAUGAAGCAAAUGGUGCCUGUCCCUGAAUUGGGAAGUAAACAUGCAUGAUACAGAGAGUGGACACACAGAAGGAUAUCCAAAGUGACAUCUUCCUUGGCUGCAAGUCAGGCAUCCUAUCUGAAAAGUGCUUGGCCAGGCAAGAACAUUUUUUUCUGAGGCAACCCUUGCAGAAACUAACAGGAGUCUGCUCUGCUAUGAAUUAUGGAGAAGGGAAGUCACUCUUUAUUCCUAUUUGGAAAGCUGUUCUUUGAAAAUGGGAAGCCUACUGAUUUUAAUUUCAAACAUAUUCUUCUACAUGUGGGAAGAAUCAGCAUCUUAGACUUCUAAAUUUCUACAGAUUGCAGGUGCUAACAGUAAAAUUAAGUGGUAAGGUAUCCACUGGAAGAAUGGUACACAGUAUUUUCCUGGAAGUGAGCUUCAAAUGAAUAGGAAAAAUAUGUUUCAGACCAAAUUUAGAUCAAGACUUCUGAAGUUAAUUUUUCUAAUGAUA